GGGCUAGUGGCGCAAUGGAUAAUGCGUCUGACUACAAAUUAGAAGAUUCUAGGUUCAACUCCUGGCUAACUCG
This 73-nucleotide transfer RNA is filed under the name Perca flavescens (yellow perch). It matches the Rfam family "tRNA". Rfam says of the family: Transfer RNA (tRNA) molecules are approximately 80 nucleotides in length. Their secondary structure includes four short double-helical elements and three loops (D, anti-codon, and T loops). The record is from Rfam by way of RNAcentral. Lineage: Eukaryota; Metazoa; Chordata; Actinopteri; Perciformes; Percidae.